AACGCUAGCUACAGGCUUAACACAUGCAAGUCGAGGGGCAGCGGGGGAGAGCAGCGAUGCAAUCCCGCCGGCGACCGGCGCACGGGUGAGUAACACGUAUGCAACCUGCCCGCAGCAGGGGGAUAAGCCGGAGAAAUCCGGUCUAAUACCGCGUAACACAUUAUGCCGGCAUCGGCAUGAUGUCAAAGAUUUAUCGGCAGCGGAUGGGCAUGCGGCGCAUUAGCUAGUUGGCGGGGUAACGGCCCACCAAGGCGACGAUGCGUAGGGGUUCUGAGAGGAAGGUCCCCCACAUUGGUACUGAGACACGGACCAAACUCCUACGGGAGGCAGCAGUGAGGAAUAUUGGUCAAUGGGCGCGAGCCUGAACCAGCCAAGUAGCGUGCAGGAUGACGGCCCUAUGGGUUGUAAACUGCUUUUAUAAGGGAAUAAAGUUAGUCUCGUGAGACUUUUUGCAUGUACCUUAUGAAUAAGGACCGGCUAAUUCCGUGCCAGCAGCCGCGGUAAUACGGAAGGUCCGGGCGUUAUCCGGAUUUAUUGGGUUUAAAGGGAGCGUAGGCCGGAGAUUAAGCGUGUUGUGAAAUGUAGACGCUCAACGUCUGCACUGCAGCGCGAACUGGUUUCCUUGAGUACGCACAAAGUGGGCGGAAUUCGUGGUGUAGCGGUGAAAUGCUUAGAUAUCACGAAGAACUCCGAUUG
This 696-nucleotide ribosomal RNA is filed under the name uncultured bacterium. RNAcentral describes it as "partial 16S ribosomal RNA". It matches the Rfam family "Bacterial small subunit ribosomal RNA", at positions 32 to 715 of the family's 1533-position model. The record is from RNAcentral.